AUACGGAGGGUGCAAGCGUUACCCGGAAUCACUGGGCGUAAAGCGCGCGCAGGCGGGCUGAUAAGUUGGAUGUGAAAGCCUACGGCUCAACCGUAGAACUGCAUCCAAAACUGUCAGUCUAGAGUGUGGGAGAGGAAGAUGGAAUUAGUUGUGUAGGGGUAAAAUCCGUAGAGAUAACUAGGAAUACCAAAAGCGAAGGCAAUCUUCUGGAACACUACUGACGCUGAGGCGCGAAGGCGUGGGGAGCAAACAGGAUUAGAAACCCCGGUAGUCC
This 274-nucleotide ribosomal RNA is filed under the name uncultured bacterium. RNAcentral describes it as "partial 16S ribosomal RNA". It matches the Rfam family "Bacterial small subunit ribosomal RNA", at positions 523 to 796 of the family's 1533-position model. The record is from RNAcentral.